Vicia villosa (hairy vetch) is the source of this 1618-nucleotide long non-coding RNA. RefSeq lists it as uncharacterized. NCBI's taxonomy places the organism in Eukaryota, Viridiplantae, Streptophyta, Magnoliopsida, Fabales, Fabaceae. The record is from RefSeq and is a predicted model, not a curated record. The transcript has 3 exons.
UCUUAAAGUGAUAAAAAGUAAAAACAAGUUUCUUUUUGUUGCAUGUAUAGCAGACAAAAUAUGGCUCAAAUUGCAAAAUUCUUUUAUGUUUUUAUCAUCUUACUUUUUCACCUUUCUAUUGUAUUCUGCGACUCCAAAUCUAAUGGAGCUUUCGUGCCUUGCAUAGAUUACACUGAUUGUUCAUUAAGUUUGUGCUGGCCUCCAGAAAUAGCACGUUGUUUUAAUUCCUUUUGUGCAUGUCACGACCCCAAGCAUAAGUUUAAGGUCAGAAGUUCUAAGGAUUGAUUUUAAUGACAACUGCUUUGCUCAUCAUUGCGUUUUAAAAUAAAUAUCUUUAAAUAAAUACUAUCUUUGUAAUGUACUUUUCUCGUUUGUUUCUGUUGGAAAUGUGAAUUUCUCCAUUGCACCUUUUUCUUGUGUCUGCAUGCAUCCAUAAUUUCUAUCUGACAUUGAUUAACAUACAACCAUUUCUUUGAUACUGCUGAUGGAAAAUGCUGUAACAAAAUAGAUGAUAGAGUUGUAGCAACUAAUUUUGACUGCAACUUUUGAUAAACUGUAUCAAAUACAAAUACUUUUUUUACCAGAAUAUAUUUUCCUUACAAAAGAUUUGUAACUAAUGACCUUUUUCCAUGUAAAAUCUCCAUGUAACUGAAAAUCAAAAUCACUACCACCGUCAUCCGGAUCUAGAUCUUCACCACUACUAUCAAGAGCCGAUUGAUUUACUUCAUAUAUGCAAUCUUAAUUAGGGGCAUUCAAAAUCAAACCAACCCAAUAAAAAACUACAAAUUAAAUCAAAUUGAAAUCGCAAAAAACUGUAUUUGAUUCGGAUGUGUUUAGGUCGUCUUUUAUCAAAAUCGCAUGGUUCGGUUCAGUUUGCGGUUUGUAUUUUGCAAACCGAAUCAACAAACCGCAUUAUGUUACAACCUAAAUUUUACUUAACUCACAUCAACCCAAACUUAAAUUUAUUAUACCUUUGCCUUAUGAUUAUGAACAAUUUUCUCAUCCUUACACUUAUGGUUUUAGUUUAAGUCUUUUCUUAAAUCACUCAUAUCAUUAUCGCACCUUCUUCGCCACAUACAAGUGGUCUCUUCUUCUCUAAUCUCUCUCAUUCUAUAUUAUUUAAUGUUUAUUAUUCCACUUUUAUCUAAUCUAAUUUUUACAUAUUAAAUGAGAAGUUGGUGUCCAAAUAUGAAUAAUUUUUUUAUUAUUUGAUAGUGUAUGAAUGACUAAUUACAAAUUUAUGUUCUCGUCUAUAUGUGUAUUAAUGGUUCAAUAAAAUUAAAAAUUGAACCAACCAAACCGAAUCAAACUGUAUUGGUUUGGGUUGGUUCGGUUUUUUUAAAAGCCAACCGAACAAAAACCAAUCCGCACAUUUUUUUAUUGUGGUUCAGAUGAUUUUUAGUAGGGGUGUAAUCAGAUCAGUUUGGACUGGUUUUUGGUCAAAAAAAGGUCCGGACCAAUAAUAUAUUCAUCGGUUUGGUUUGGUUUUUUAACAUUUUUCAAAAAUGGAACCGAACCAAACUAAUCAGUUUGGUUCGGUUUGGGUUGGUUCGGUUAAUCGAUUUUUAAUAUUUUUUUCAAACGUUAUAUCCAUCAAUGUAUUUUCCAAUAUUGUAUU